This 254-nucleotide ribosomal RNA is filed under the name uncultured bacterium. RNAcentral's name for it is "partial 16S ribosomal RNA". It matches the Rfam family "Bacterial small subunit ribosomal RNA", at positions 524 to 776 of the family's 1533-position model. The record is from RNAcentral.
UACAGAGGUCCCAAGCGUUUGUUCGGAUUCACUGGGCGUAAAGGGUGCGUAGGUGGCAUGGCCAGUUUGAUGUGAAAGCUCAGGGCUUAACCCUGAAAUGGCAUUGAAUACUGCUGUGCUGGAGGUUUGGAGGGGGGACUGGAAUUCUUGGUGUAGCAGUGAAAUGCGUAGAUAUCAAGAGGAACACCAGUGGCGAAGGCGAGUCCCUGGACAACACCUGACACUGAGGCACGAAAGCUAGGGGAGCAAACAGG